RNAcentral lists this ribosomal RNA (486 nucleotides) under uncultured bacterium. RNAcentral describes it as "partial 16S ribosomal RNA". It matches the Rfam family "Bacterial small subunit ribosomal RNA", at positions 28 to 507 of the family's 1533-position model. The record is from RNAcentral.
GAUGAACGCUGGCGGCGUGCCUAAUACAUGCAAGUCGAACGCUGGAAAUCUAGCUUGCUAGAUUGAAGGAGUGGCGAGCGGGUGAGUAAUACAUAAGCAACCUACCCACGAAGACUGGGAUAAUCUCUGGAAACGGGGACUAAUACCGGAUAGGUAAUCGGAAGGCAUCUUCUGAUUAUUAAAGGUUAAAAACACUGGUGGAUGGGCUUAUGGCGCAUUAGUUAGUUGGUGAGGUAACGGCCCACCAAGACGAUGAUGCGUAGCCGGCCUGAGAGGGUGAACGGCCACAUUGGGACUGAGACACGGCCCAGACUCCUACGGGAGGCAGCAGUAGGGAAUUUUCGGCAAUGGGGGAAACCCUGACCGAGCAACGCCGCGUGAGUGAUGACGGCCUUCGGGGUGUAAAGCUCUGUUGUAAGGGAAGAACGGUAGAUAGAGAAUAUCUAAAUGACGGUACCUUACCAGAAAGCCACGGCUAACUACGUG